AGUAGAGGAGGGAGGGGUGUCGAGCGUCGAAGGUGGAAUGAGGGAAGAUGGAGGAGGUUGAUGGGACUCGAGGGCUGGGAUACACCUGCUCAAGGGGAAGGGAGGGAGAGAACUUUUUAAAAUAGUCAAACUGAAAUAAAGCCCUAUUAAAAGUUAAGGGUGAGGGAGGAAAUUAGAUAUCGAAAAGGUGUUAACUGAAAAGCAAAGAAGUGACAUCAGGAAAACUAAGGCUGGCAGUGAGCGAGGACAAGCGAUGGUCCAUGUCCCCAUUGCUUGGAGUGGACUCAACUAUUUAAUCAGGGUUAACCUGGGACAGCAAGCAUGGAACAACCCACCCACCCAAACCAAAGUGCCUUAGCCCUGGGCCAGUGACCUCAUCUGUUCUGAAACAAUUGCUGGGAGGUGCUAAAUAAAUAUUUGCUGAUAGGAAAUGAACAUCUGAAGUGAGAAAUGACAUCAAAUGAAGAGCUAGGCAUGGAGGCUUAUACUUAUCAUGCUAGCACUUGGGAGGUAGAGGUUGAGGGAUCAGGAGUUCAGGGUCAGUCUUGGCUGCAGAAAGAGUUAGAGGCCAGAGCUGUGUGGUGGUGGUGGCACACUCUAACCCCAGCACUCAGGAGGCAAAGGCAGGUGGAUCUCUGAGUUUGAGGCCAGCCUGGUCUACAGAGCGAGUUCCAGGACAGCCAGGGCUACACAGAGAAACUUUGUCUCAAAAAACCAAACAAACAAAAAGUAGAGGCCAGUAUGAGCCACAUGAAACCUUGUCGCCAAUAAGUAGUACACAAUCAAGUGAAACUAUCAGUGUUAGGCUGCUGCUGAUGGAAGGGAACCAAGGAGUCCCAUCCAUUGGCCAGAUGGGUGUGGCUACGUGGGGCGUUCCAAUUGAUACAGAUAGUGCUUAAGUCUAGGAAGACAACCCUCCCUUGAUCCACAGGUCUGCAUAGCAUUUGGGGAGGGGUCUUAUGCCCUUGUGAUUCUUGAGAUUUGAGGAUCCCCUAGAGAUCACUCAGUCUUGGAUGAGUUUUUUUCCACCACCUAGGGUUCUCAAUUGUCCCGAUUUCACACAAGGGAUCUCCAACAAGAACUAACAAACAUAGCCUGUCCUCUCUGAUUGUAGCGUCCCUUUCACACAAUGUGUCACAUCCCUGGAUAGAAAAAAAUUUAUUACCUGAGUCUUAAAACCCAUAGCUCCGUUUUAUUUUUCUUCUAUGUUUUGUUUUAAAGUUUAUUUUAUGUGUAUAAGUGUUUUGCCUUCAUGUAUGUAAGUGCACCAUGUGUGCCUGGUGCCCAUAGAGGCCAGAAGACAGCACUGGAUCCCCUGGAACUAGAGUUACAGACAAUUGUGAGCUGCCAUGUGGGUGUCAGGAACCGAACCCAGGUCCUCUGCAAAAGCAGCUACUGCUGUUAACUGCUGAGCCAUCGCUCCAACCCCUGUACUGUUUUUAGUUGAGAUUAGAUAGGUAAAGUCCUUAUCCUGAUCUCCCCAGUGAGAAUGCUUCUCCACUGACUUGCCAGAGUUACCACCACUCACCAGGCCUGUCCCCCAUCUGCAGAGGGAGGCCGCUGAACUAGGUUAUCCCGAGUUCCUUUUCAGUGCUAACAUCACAUCUUCAGGGGCUCCUGGGCUUGUGACAGUGCUGAUGGGGAAUGGAAAGCCCAGACUUGUCACCUCCACAUUUGGAACAUGGAGGAAUCAAGAUAGCUGUAGCCCCAAGAAGGCGAACUUGCCAGGAACUGGCUGAGAUGAUUCUGCUGCUUGUGGUGAAAUGUCUUGGCAGACCAUUCAGGUAGGUCGGUACAGGUGAGGGAGAGGGUGGGGUUGACAUUCUUUCGGCCCCUGAGUAAUGUUUCCUUGCAGGAUUGGAUGCCUACAGACUAGUGGAUGCCAGCUAGAUGGAUCCAUCCACAUUGGCAAAAGCUGGAGUCCCACGGACAGCAAGCUUGCUGAACACCUCUCACAGCCCUGCCCGACUGUCCUCCAGGAUCCUGUGACUAGUCUUCUCUUCAGGCUGCUGAUCACUGUGUGUUUUUGUGAGCCAAGGCUGUAUUUUAAUGAGCAAGGCUUUGAAAAGUGUCUUAAUACCUGAUACGGUAAGUACCCUUACCCUGUCCUCUAUUCUUUUUAAAAAAUCACCUUGUUAUAUUGCUGGUUUACUUUUAUAUAUCUUAUAAUUAGCUUGUCAAAGUUCCAUGGGGGGAAAAAAAAACCUUAUUAAGUGAGACUGCAUUGGAGGGAAAAAUAGCAUCAUUAGGAUGCCAUCAGCUUCUCCCAUCUGCGACUGCAGCGCCGUCUCCCGUGGUCAGUCGCCCUUGUUUGGUGUGGUUUUGCUUUGCUUUUAAUACCUUCUAAUAAAAGCUGGCCCCGCAGGUCACAGACAUCCUCCACAUUUCUUAAUGGCUUGACUCCUGAACACCUUAUUAGUUUUGUUGCUUUCGUGAAUGGAAAAACUUGCCCAGUUUUUCAUUUCACUUUCCAAAUUUUAAUCAGUUUGCUAAUCACUGUGCAGCAUUCACAGACACACACCAAGUGAACGUGCUUUGUCCCUGGACAGACAAAUCAGAGUACAGCACACGUGCAUUCUCAGCUAAUUGGCAAGGAAUGAAUUUGAAUGUUUGAAUUAAAUUUCAAUUAUACAAGUAAAACACAAAUACAUUUUCUUUUCAAUACAGUCCACAUUACAGAUGGGGCAUCCCUACUUGGCCCUUAGCCUCUGCCUUGGGUCCGUACACCUUCAGGGGAGAGCUGAUAUUAGUGCCUCUGUUUGUCUAGUGUUUGCUUGUGCCCUUUCCAACAUGUCUGUUCUUUUGUUGGUCUGUCUGCAUAGGCAGGUGGUGUCCACUGGAGGUGCUUUCUACGCUGUGUGCCCUGCAGGACUCGCCUCGAGCGGCUGUCUGCAUCUCCGUUCACUCCAGUGCUCCACGCAGCUGGCCGCACACAGCCACAACAAGCAUGUCCCCUUCUGUUUUAAUGUUUCCUAUUGGUUGACUGUGGAAAUGCCUUUGGUGGUGUUCAUAACAAACAUGUUGAGGGUCCCCUUCAUUAGUCCCCUUUUGCUCACAUACACGUAUUUCUGUAGGACAAGUACUUGGAACUGUUGGGCCACAGGGAAGACACGUCCUGAAUUCAGAUAAAAACAGCUACAGUCUCCUGCCAGAACCUCUCCAACUUUAACGUUUCACCAGUUGGAUGGGUAAAAAGACUGUCACGGGUUAGUGUACCCUGUCAUGCCACAGCUGAGGCUUUUGUUUACCUUCAUUCCCAGUUCCCUCUCUGGAUCAUAUGGCCAAGUCCUUCCUGCUUCUCUGCCUCUGCCUGCUUGCCUCCCUCUCCCUUUCUUUCCCUCCCUCUUUCCCAUCUCUCUCUCUCUCUUUCUUCCAUUUUUGAGACAAGGUCUCACUAGGUACCCCAUCCUAGCUUCAAAUUCAGGGUCCUCCAACCUCAGUCUCACUCAGCACUGGGAUUAUAGGUAUGAUACCACAUCUUGCCCAUUUCUUUUCUUUUCUUUCUUUCUUUCUUUCAAGAUAUUUUAUCUUUCAUUGGUUUCUGGUUCUUUAUCUAUUUCAUGCAUUUUAUAUACUAAUGCUGUGUCACUAGUGACAAGUAUUUUUCUACAUUGUAGUUCCUUUGCCAUUUAGUUGAAUUGCUUUUAGAAAAAAUUAAAGUUUUGAUACAGUCA
Long non-coding RNA from Peromyscus eremicus (cactus mouse), 3674 nucleotides. RefSeq lists it as uncharacterized. The record is from RefSeq and is a predicted model, not a curated record. Lineage: Eukaryota; Metazoa; Chordata; Mammalia; Rodentia; Cricetidae. The transcript has 2 exons.